Molecule: ribosomal RNA, 908 nt
Filed under: uncultured Bacillota bacterium
Lineage: Bacteria; Bacillati; Bacillota
Description: bacterial SSU rRNA
Rfam family: Bacterial small subunit ribosomal RNA
Source: RNAcentral
UGGAUCCAGACUUUGAUCAUGGCUCAGGAUAAACGCUGGCGGCGCACAUAAGACAUGCAAGUCGAACGGACUUAACUCAUUCUUUUAGAUUGAGAGCGGUUAGUGGCGGACUGGUGAGUAACACGUAAGCAACCUGCCUAUCAGAGGGGAAUAACAGUGAGAAAUCAUUGCUAAUACCGCAUAAGCUAGUAGUAUCGCAUGAUAUAGCUAGAAAAGGAGCAAUCCGCUGAUAGAUGGGCUUGCGUCUGAUUAGCUAGUUGGUGGGGUAACGGCCUACCAAGGCGACGAUCAGUAGCCGGACUGAGAGGUUGAACGGCCACAUUGGGACUGAGAUACGGCCCAGACUCCUACGGGAGGCAGCAGUCGGGAAUAUUGCGCAAUGGAGGAAACUCUGACGCAGUGACGCCGCGUAUAGGAAGAAGGUUUUCGGAUUGUAAACUAUUGUCGUGAGGGAAGAAAUUGACAGUACCUCAGGGGGAAGCUCCGGCUAACUAUGUGCCAGCAGCCGCGGUAAUACAUAGGGAGCAAGCGUUAUCCGGAUUUAUUGGGUGUAAAGGGUGCGUAGACGGGAAAUUAAGUUAGUUGUGAAAUCCCUCGGCUUAACUGAGGAACUGCAACUAAAACUGGCUUUCUUGAGUACUGGAGAGGAAAGUGGAAUUCCUAGUGUAGCGGUGAAAUGCGUAGAUAUUAGGAGGAACACCAGUGGCGAAGGCGACUUUCUGGACAGUAACUGACGUUGAGGCACGAAAGUGUGGGGAGCAAACAGGAUUAGAUACCCUGGUAGUCCACACUGUAAACGAUGGAUACUAGGUGUAGGAUGUAUUAAGCAUUCUGUGCCGCCGCUAACGCAUUAAGUAUCCCACCUGGGGAGUACGACCGCAAGGUUGCAACUCAAAGGAAUUGACGGA